This is a long non-coding RNA of Aedes albopictus (Asian tiger mosquito), 2301 nucleotides long. RefSeq lists it as uncharacterized. The transcript is spliced from 3 exons. The record is from RefSeq and is a predicted model, not a curated record. Lineage: Eukaryota; Metazoa; Arthropoda; Insecta; Diptera; Culicidae.
AAUAUCUGUGCAUUACUGCAUUACUCUAGUGGACAAUGAUGAUAUUUAUCUGAGAAUAUUUAUGAAGUCAGCGGCACACAAUUUACUAGUGACAAAUGUGAAAAACAUGAAAUAACGUUGAAGAUUUGCACUAACGUUUCACUCGAUUCACUCUUGGUAGAAAAGAUAAACAACACAAUCGAAGAAUGUUGAUUUUCCUAAACUUUCAGUCGUGCCGUCAGUAUGCCCAAAACUGUCAGAUUUCCCAAAUCUGUCACCAUCAUGUGGGCUACGGUUUAUCUAUGGUUUAUCUGUGGUUGACGUGCGCAGUACCCCGCUGGUAAAGUGUAAUAAAGAGUGCCGCAUAAAUUCAAAAUUUGCAACGGUCUACCUGACAAUCGAAUAUAAACGAAACUACAAAUCAACCCAAAUUUAAGUUGUUUUGACGCAAUACCGGUCUUCCGUGGAAUUACUCAAAUUUGCGUCAAACAGCGAUAGUGGUGAGUAGGUAGUUCUCGUUUGAUCGCUGCAAAACAAAAAUACCCAGUGGUAAGUUAUUUUAACCCAGCGGAAACCUUAUUUGACGUAAAUUUGAGUUAAGUCAAGAUAACCCAAAUUUGGCUUCUUCCACGGAGCUACUCGGGUGUGCUUCUCUCUUUGUUUUUGACAACAUUCGUGUGGGGUAAGGGAGAAAACAACCCAAUGCUGAGUAAAAACUAAAAUCGGUUUAGUCAAAUUUGUGUUUUUAAAACUUAUUCGCUGGGUUUUAAUAUUUUUCAGUGUAACGGACGGCUAUACUCCACUGCACUGUGACGUCACGCAAAAGUUUUGACAGGUGGUGGUCCUGUUGUUUACGUUUCGUACUUAGAAGAAUUUUCGAUUUUUCAAAGUGAUUAGUGUCGGAGCCAAUCAUGCCCUGGAAGUGCUGUGUGUUUAAGUGUAAAUCCACCGUGAAAAGCCCUGGAAUCAAAUUUUUCCGUUUCCCUACGGUAGGGAAAUGUUUGAAGCAGCUAACCAGCGAGAGGAUUCAGGCGUGGAAAAGUGCUCUUGGUUAUGGAGACACUUCUACUCCCCUCAACAAACGAAUUUGUAGCAUUCAUUUCCGAAGCGGUAAGAAAUUCCUAUUUUACCACAAGUCACCAACAAAAACUGACGAAAACUGACCAUUUAAUACAGGUAAACCAGCGCGUCUUACAGAAACUCAGGAUGCAGAUUGGAUACCAUCACAGAAACUGCCCAAAUCGGCAAAAUUAGCAAGUUCGCCGGUAGAACAACAGAACACAGAUUCAGAUUCUGCAUCCGAAUUAUGUAAAUCGGCAAGGUGCUCAAAUAAAUCGAUACUUUCACCAGGAUCGCCAUCAAGAGAUUUCAGAGAAGGAUCCGAAAACGACUCUUCUUCCGCUGGAACUCGCACACCCACGCUUUCAGAGACACGGAGUGCCGAUUCAAGGAAGUCGAGUUGUAGUCAAAGAUCACGCACGGUAUCUAGCGAAUCUGCAGCUUCCACAGUGGACUCCCAAGUCAGCCAGAAUGAUACCAGUUCUAGCUCGAGAUCAAGUGCAGUUUCGAAAGCAUGCAGUUCCAGUUCUGGUACAUCAGAAUCUAGACGAUCGAAUGUGCAACAUCGAGAAGGAUACGAUUCUUUUUCAGAUUCAUCUGAAUCAAACAGUAUUGUUCCAGACCAUCAGAGCAUCACGUUUUCUCCAAUUCGAGGAGAUUCUAGGGAGAAUGCCGAAGAUUCAAACUCUUCAUGUGGGAGCCAAGAGCAAGGAAAUUCAUUCUCCAGCUCUACAAAUCGAUCGUUAGAAGACAGUAGAAACAAAAGUUCUAAGCCUAGUGAUCAACCUGCCCGUGCAUCAGCAUCUAUGCUACGAUCGAGACCAUACGUGAUUCCAUUGCAAGCCUACGAUUACAAAGAGGACAAACCUAAGACGAAGAAUGCUGCAACAAUGACAGAAGCCUGUUGUUCGCCGGAUACUUCGUGUGAAAUUCUUGGAAAUUACCAGCAGGAAUUACAACGCCUCCAGGGAAUACUCAGCUCUUUUCAGAGUCAGGCAGAUUUUUUGGAACGUGGGUUCAAGUUUAUAUCUGUGAGCGAUGAGAAGUGCCUUUAUUACACUUGCAUUACAAAUUUUUCAACAGUCAAAAAUAUCUACGAAUACCUGGAGCCUAAUUUGAGUAUACCAUAUUGUGACUUUUCAACUGAGCAGAUGUUUGUUAUGACUCUCACUAAGCUGAGAUUGAAUCCACAGUUCCAAACGCUUGCCUAUGAUUAUAAUGUCUGUUUGAAUACUAUUUCAACCGUACACUGCAAUCAAUGGA